This is a small nuclear RNA of Hibiscus syriacus, 152 nucleotides long. RefSeq annotates it as U4 spliceosomal RNA. NCBI's taxonomy places the organism in Eukaryota, Viridiplantae, Streptophyta, Magnoliopsida, Malvales, Malvaceae. The record is from RefSeq and is a predicted model, not a curated record. The transcript has a single exon.
AUCAUUUGUGCUUGGGGCAAUGACACAGCUAGUGAGAUAAUAACCGAAGCGCGUCUAUUGCCUGGUUGAAAACUAUUUCCAAACCCCCUCCUAAUUCAUGGUUCUGCCUUGGCCUUGGAGAAUUUCUGGAAGGGCUCCUAUCGGGUAAAACC